RNAcentral lists this ribosomal RNA (613 nucleotides) under uncultured bacterium. Its description in RNAcentral is "bacterial SSU rRNA". It matches the Rfam family "Bacterial small subunit ribosomal RNA", at positions 338 to 945 of the family's 1533-position model. The record is from RNAcentral.
CCUACGGGAGGCAGCAGUGGGGAAUCUUGCGCAAUGGGCGGAAGCCUGACGCAGCAACGCCGCGUGCGGGAAGAAGGCCUUAGGGUCGUAAACCGCUUUCAGGGGGGACGAAGCUUCCGGGGUUAAUAGCCUACGGGGUGACGGUACUCCCAAAAGAAGGUCCGGCUAACUACGUGCCAGCAGCCGCGGUAAUACGUAGGGACCGAGCGUUGUCCGGAAUCAUUGGGCGUAAAGAGCGUGUAGGCGGCUUGGUAGGUCUCGUGUGAAAUCCCGCGGCUCAACCGCGGAUCCGCACGGGAAACCCCUAAGCUCGAGUCCGGAAGAGGAGAGUGGAAUUCCUGGUGUAGCGGUGAAAUGCGCAGAUAUCAGGAAGAACACCCGUAGCGAAGGCGGCUCUCUGGGACGGUACUGACGCUGAGACGCGAAAGCGUGGGGAGCAAACAGGAUUAGAUACCCUGGUAGUCCACGCCGUAAACGAUGGGCGCUAGGUGUGGGAGGUGUCGACUCCUCCCGUGCCGAAGCUAACGCAUUAAGCGCCCCGCCUGGGGAUACGGCCGCAAGGCAAAACUCAAAUGAAUUGACGGCUGAAGCNGCGAGCGACGACGAGGAGAGG